CAGGCCUAACACAUGCAAGUCGAGGGGCAGCACGGGUAGCAAUACCUGGUGGCGACCGGCGCAAGGGUGCGUAACGCGUGAGCAACAUGCCCUAUACAGGGGGAUAAACCAGGGAAACUUGGACUAAUACCCCAUAGCAUUUAUUUAUGGCAUCAUGAAUAAAUUAAAGCUUCGGUGGUAUAGGAUUGGCUCGCGUGACAUUAGCUAGAUGGUGAGGUAACGGCUCACCAUGGCGAUGAUGUCUAGGGGUUCUGAGAGGAAGGCCCCCCACACUGGGACUGAGACACGGCCCAGACUCCUACGGGAGGCAGCAGUGAGGAAUAUUGGGCAAUGGAUGGAAAUCUUGAUCCAGCCAUGCCGCGUGCAGGAAGACGGCCCUAUGGGUUGUAAACUGCUUUU
This 399-nucleotide ribosomal RNA is filed under the name uncultured bacterium. RNAcentral describes it as "bacterial SSU rRNA". It matches the Rfam family "Bacterial small subunit ribosomal RNA", at positions 43 to 437 of the family's 1533-position model. The record is from RNAcentral.